CGAACGCUGGUGGCGUGCUUAACACAUGCAAGUCGAACGAGAAAGUUUCNUUCGGGAAAUUAGUAAAGUGGCGCAAGGGUGAGUAUCACGUGAAUAAUCUGCCCUCGAGAUCGGGAUAACAUGGUGAAAACUAUGCUAAUACCGGAUAAGACCACAUUUCAUAAGAAAUGCGGUAAAAGGAGUCUCAAUCUUCACUCGAGGAUGAGUUCGCGCAACAUUAGCUUGUUGGUGAGAUAAAAGCUCACCAAGGCUACGAUGUUUAGCCGGCCUGAGAGGGUGAACGGCCACACUGGAACUGAGACACGGUCCAGACUCCUACGGGAGGCAGCAGUGGGGAAUAUUGCGCAAUGGGCGAAAGCCUGACGCAGCAACGCCGUGUGAGCGAUGAAGGCUUUAGGGUCGUAAAGCUCUGUCAAAUGGGAAGAAUUUUGACGGUACCAUUAGAGGAAGCCCCGGCUAACUCCGUGCCAGCAGCCGCGGUAAUACGGAGGGGGCAAGCGUUGUUCGGAAUUAUUGGGCGUAAAGCGUAUGUAGGCGGCUAAGUAAGUCAGGCGUGCAAGCCCGUGGCUCAACCACGGAAUUGCGUUUGAAACUGUUUAGCUUGAGUACAGGAGAGGAAAGUGGAAUUCCCAGUGUAGCGGUGAAAUGCAUUGAUAUUGGGAAGAACAUCUGUGGCGAAGGCGGCUUUCUGGUCUGUUACUGACGCUGAGAUACGAAAGCCAGGGUAGCGAACGGGAUUAGAUACCCCGGUAGUCCUGGCUGUAAACGAUGGGCACUAGGUGGAGGAGGUAUCGNUCCCCUCUCUGCCGUAGCUAACGC
RNAcentral lists this ribosomal RNA (819 nucleotides) under uncultured Desulfobacterales bacterium. RNAcentral's name for it is "SSU rRNA". It matches the Rfam family "Bacterial small subunit ribosomal RNA", at positions 30 to 858 of the family's 1533-position model. The record is from RNAcentral. Lineage: Bacteria; Pseudomonadati; Thermodesulfobacteriota; Desulfobacteria; Desulfobacterales.